Molecule: ribosomal RNA, 468 nt
Filed under: uncultured bacterium
Lineage: Bacteria
Description: partial 16S ribosomal RNA
Rfam family: Bacterial small subunit ribosomal RNA
Source: RNAcentral
GGCGAACGCUGGCGGCGUGCUUAACACAUGCAAGUCGAACGGAAAGGCCCUGCUUUUGUGGGGUGCUCGAGUGGCGAACGGGUGAGUAACACGUGAGUAACCUGCCCUUGACUUUGGGAUAACUUCAGGAAACUGGGGCUAAUACCGGAUAGGAGCUCCUGCUGCAUGGUGGGGGUUGGAAAGUUUCGGCGGUUGGGGAUGGACUCGCGGCUUAUCAGCUUGUUGGUGGGGUAGUGGCUUACCAAGGCUUUGACGGGUAGCCGGCCUGAGAGGGUGACCGGCCACAUUGGGACUGCGAUACGGCCCAGACUCCUACGGGAGGCAGCAGUGGGGAAUAUUGCACAAUGGGCGGAAGCCUGAUGCAGCAACGCCGCGUGCGGGAUGACGGCCUUCGGGUUGUAAACCGCUUUCGCCUGUGACGAAGCGUGAGUGACGGUAAUGGGUAAAGAAGCACCGGCUAACUACGUG